UCUGUCUCACAGGUGUCCACCAGAAGCU
This 28-nucleotide non-coding RNA is filed under the name Mus musculus (house mouse). Lineage: Eukaryota; Metazoa; Chordata; Mammalia; Rodentia; Muridae. The record is from RNAcentral.